Molecule: ribosomal RNA, 253 nt
Filed under: uncultured bacterium
Lineage: Bacteria
Description: partial 16S ribosomal RNA
Rfam family: Bacterial small subunit ribosomal RNA
Source: RNAcentral
UACGAAGGGGGCUAGCGUUGCUCGGAAUUACUGGGCGUAAAGGGCGCGUAGGCGGUCACGCACGUCCGUUGUGAAAUCGCUCGGCUCAACUGGGCGGGGUCAGCGGAUACGGCGUGGCUGGAGCAAGCUAGGGGGCAAUGGAAUUCCCGGUGUAGUGGUGGAAUGCGUAGAUAUCGGGAGGAACACCAGUGGCGAAGGCGGUUGCCUGGAGCUUUGCUGACGCUGAUGCGCGAAAGCGUGGGGAGCGAUCCGG